GGAAGGAUGAGAGAGGCCGCGAAGAUUCUGGCCUCCAUCUUCUGCUCCACGCUUCUCAUCGGCGCCGUCAUUGCCGACGAUCCUUAUCGUUUCUAUAACUGGAAUGUCACCUGGGGUGAUAUCUGGCCCCUUGGCGUCAAGCAACAGGGUAUACUGAUAAACGGUCAGUUCCCGGGGCCGCAGAUUGAGUCACAGACCAACGACAAUCUCAUCAUCAACGUCUUCAAUAGCCUCACCGAGCCCUUCCUCAUCUCCUGGAACGGGAUACAACAGAGGAGGAACUCAUAUGAAGAUGGAGUUUACGGUACCACCUGCCCGAUUCCGCCUGGGAGGAACUUCACAUACAUUC
Molecule: unclassified non-coding RNA, 349 nt
Filed under: Hevea brasiliensis (rubber tree)
Lineage: Eukaryota; Viridiplantae; Streptophyta; Magnoliopsida; Malpighiales; Euphorbiaceae
Source: RNAcentral